This 494-nucleotide ribosomal RNA is filed under the name uncultured bacterium. RNAcentral describes it as "partial 16S ribosomal RNA". It matches the Rfam family "Bacterial small subunit ribosomal RNA", at positions 28 to 507 of the family's 1533-position model. The record is from RNAcentral.
GACGAACGCUGGCGGCGUGCCUAAUACAUGCGAGUCGAGCGGACUUAAAAAGCUUUUUUUUUUAGUUAGCUGCCGACGGGUGAGUAACUCCUGGUCAACCUGCCUGUAAGACUGGGAUAACUUCGUCAAACCGGAGCUAAUACCGGAUAAUCCUUUUCUACUCAGGUAGAAAAGCUGAUAGACGGUGUACUCUGUCACUUUCAGAUGGGCCCGCGCCGCAUUAGCUAGUUGGUGAGGUAACGGCUCACCAAGGCGACGAUGCGUAGCCGACCUGAGAGGGUGAUCGGCCACACUGGAACUGAGACACGGCCCAGACUCCUACGGGAGGCAGCAGUAGGGAAUCUUCCGCAAUGGACGAAAGUCUGACGGAGCAACGCCGCGUGAGUGAUGAAGGUCUUCGGAUCGUAAAACUCUGUUGUUAGGGAAGAACAAGUAUGAGAGUAACUGUUCGUGCCUUGACGGUACCUAAUCAGAAAGCCACGGCUAACUACGUG